UACGUAGGUGGCAAGCGUUGUCCGGAAUUAUUGGGCGUAAAGCGCGCGCAGGCGGUCCUUUUAAGUCUGAUGUGAAAGCCCACGGCUCAACCGUGGAGGGUCAUUGGAAACUGGGGGACUUGAGUGCAGAAGAGGAGAGUGGAAUUCCACGUGUAGCGGUGAAAUGCGUAGAGAUGUGGAGGAACACCAGUGGCGAAGGCGACUCUUUGGCCUGUAACUGACGCUGAGGCGCGAAAGCGUGGGAGC
This 246-nucleotide ribosomal RNA is filed under the name uncultured bacterium. Its description in RNAcentral is "partial 16S ribosomal RNA". It matches the Rfam family "Bacterial small subunit ribosomal RNA", at positions 524 to 769 of the family's 1533-position model. The record is from RNAcentral.